AACCCCUGGAAUUACAUUAGAUAUUGAAAAUUGUUGAGACCGAAAGAAAUAAGUGGAACAGCGAGGUAGAAGUAAAAAUUAUAAAAUUGACAAGAACAACAAUGAAAGAGAACAGAGGGUUUCCAAUUCAGAGCUGAGGCGAGAAAGCGGGAGGAACAAACAAGAUUAAAACAAUGGUAGUCCGCACCGUAAACGAAGGAAGGUAGGUGUGGCCGGCUUGGCGGUCAGUAGCGAAGAUAACACUAUAAGCAUCCAACAUGAGGAGUAGGGACACAAGAAGAAAAUCAAAGGAAUUGACGAGGGCCCGCGCAAGCGAUGGAGCAUGUGGUUUAAUUUUAAGCAACGCGCAGAACCUUACCAGCCUUUGACAUGGCAGGACGGCUUCCACAGAUGGAUUCCUUCCCUUUGGGGACCUGCACACAGGUGCUGCAUGGCUGUCGUCAGCUCGUGUCGUGAGAAGUUGGGUUAAGUCAAGCAACGAGCGCAACCCUCGCCAUUAGUUGCCAUCAUUCAGUUGGGCACUCUAAGGGGACUGCCGGUGAUAAGCCGCGAGGAAGGUGGGGAUGACGUCAAGUCCUCAUGGCCCUUACAGGCUGGGCUACACACGUGCUACAAUGGCGGUGACAAUGGGCAGUGAAAGGGCGACCUGGAGCUAAUCCCAAAAAGCCGUCUCAGUUCAGAUUGCACUCUGUCCUCGAGUGCCGAAGCCGGUCUCGCUAGUAAUCCCGAUCCGCACGCCGCGGUGAAUCCGUCCCGGG
This 758-nucleotide ribosomal RNA is filed under the name uncultured bacterium. RNAcentral's name for it is "bacterial SSU rRNA". It matches the Rfam family "Bacterial small subunit ribosomal RNA", at positions 610 to 1378 of the family's 1533-position model. The record is from RNAcentral.